Long non-coding RNA from Triticum dicoccoides, 639 nucleotides. RefSeq lists it as uncharacterized. The record is from RefSeq and is a predicted model, not a curated record. NCBI's taxonomy places the organism in Eukaryota, Viridiplantae, Streptophyta, Magnoliopsida, Poales, Poaceae. The transcript has 3 exons.
AAAUGCAGAUUCAGAAGCGUUAGUUAACCAGGGAGAUGAUCGUGUGCCUGUGAGUAGCGAGAACUCUGUGGUUUCCUCGCUCUCUCUCCAGGUUAGCGCCGGUGGCAAAGUUGGAGAGGCAGAGGAAGGAGGUGAACCGAAUGUUGCUGCUCAUGAGUUGCAAGCAAAUGAAGAUGCAAAAGAGGGGUACGGCGAGCACGAAUCGAUGACUAAACGGCCCAAUCCGUCCUCGUCCAUCUGAUCCGCGUCGCAGCUAACUGACGGACUUAUCUAAUCCGUGGGCCACAUGCUAUUUCGGGAAAUAAGAACGAGGAGCACAUAUCUGUUGCUAUACAGUCUGCGGCAUAGAUCCCGAGAUGAAUAAAUGGUACUGAUUCCGAGCUCCUGUGAGCUCGAGCUCACAUAGGCAUUUUCUUGAAUCUACUUAUUCUCGGUGCAGUGGAUGUGGAAAAAUUGUGAAGACAUGUAAUUUCCGGUCUGAAGAAAGACAUGUUGAUGCUUGGAUGUUGGACGUGUUCUGAUGGUUUGAUUGAUGUUUGCUGAAUGCUUGUUGAUGCCGUUGGUUGUGAGAACUGAAUUCUGCGUCGAGCUGUUCCUUCGGAGUGAAAUGGCAGAGUUGCCUCCAGGUAUCUAAGGUAA